GAUUAACGCUAGCGGCAGGCCUAACACAUGCAAGUCGAGGGGCAGCGCAUGAAGUAGCAAUACUUCUGGCGGCGACCGGCGCACGGGUGCGUAACGCGUAUACAAUCUGCCUUGCACUGGGGAAUAAACCGGAGAAAUUUGGCCUAAUACCCCAUAACACAAAGAUCGGCAUCGGUUUUUGUUGAAAGAUUUAUUGGUGCAAGAUGAGUAUGCGUUGUAUUAGUUUGUUGGUGAGGUAACGGCUCACCAAGACUACGAUACAUAGGGGGACUGAGAGGUUAACCCCCACACUGGUACUGAGACACGGACCAGACUCCUACGGGAGGCAGCAGUGAGGAAUAUUGGUCAAUGGACGAAAGUCUGAACCAGCCAUGCCGCGCGCAGGAUGACGGCUCUAUGAGUUGUAAACUGCUUUUGUACGAGGGUAAACAGCGGAACGUGUUCUGCUUUGAAAGUAUCGUACGAAUAAGGAUCGGCUAACUCCGUGCCAGCAGCCGCGGUAAAAC
RNAcentral lists this ribosomal RNA (506 nucleotides) under uncultured bacterium. RNAcentral describes it as "partial 16S ribosomal RNA". It matches the Rfam family "Bacterial small subunit ribosomal RNA", at positions 28 to 526 of the family's 1533-position model. The record is from RNAcentral.